CAGCAGCCGCGGUAAUACGAAGGGGGCUAGCGUUGUUCGGAAUUACUGGGCGUAAAGCGCACGUAGGCGGACAUUUAAGUCAGGGGUGAAAUCCCGGGGCUCAACCCCGGAACUGCCUUUGAUACUGGGUGUCUAGAGUAUGGAAGAGGUGAGUGGAAUUCCGAGUGUAGAGGUGAAAUUCGUAGAUAUUCGGAGGAACACCAGUGGCGAAGGCGGCUCACUGGUCCAUUACUGACGCUGAGGUGCGAAAGCGUGGGGAGCAAACAGGAUUAGAUACCCGAGUAGUCCCUGUCUCUUAUAC
RNAcentral lists this ribosomal RNA (301 nucleotides) under uncultured bacterium. Its description in RNAcentral is "partial 16S ribosomal RNA". It matches the Rfam family "Bacterial small subunit ribosomal RNA", at positions 509 to 807 of the family's 1533-position model. The record is from RNAcentral.